UACGUAGGGUGCAAGCGUUGUCCGGAAUUAUUGGGCGUAAAGAGCUCGUAGGCGGUUUGUUGCGUCGGCUGUGAAAUCCCGAGGCUCAACCUCGGGUCUGCAGUCGAUACGGGCAAACUUGAGUGUUGCAGGGGAGACUGGAAUUCCUGGUGUAGCGGUGAAAUGCGCAGAUAUCAGGAGGAACACCGGUGGCGAAGGCGGGUCUCUGGGCAACAACUGACGCUGAGGAGCGAAAGCGUGGGGAGCGAACAGG
Molecule: ribosomal RNA, 253 nt
Filed under: uncultured bacterium
Lineage: Bacteria
Description: partial 16S ribosomal RNA
Rfam family: Bacterial small subunit ribosomal RNA
Source: RNAcentral